Molecule: ribosomal RNA, 395 nt
Filed under: uncultured bacterium
Lineage: Bacteria
Description: partial 16S ribosomal RNA
Rfam family: Bacterial small subunit ribosomal RNA
Source: RNAcentral
CCUACGGGAGGCAGCAGUGAGGAAUAUUGGUCAAUGGCCGUAAGCCUGAACCAGCCAAGUCGCGUGAGGGAUGAAGGCUCUAUGGAUUGUAAACCUCUUUUAUAAGGGAGUAAAGUGCGGGACGUGUCCUACCUUGAAUGUACCCUAUGAAUAAGGAUCGGCUAACUCCGUGCCAGCAGCCGCGGUAAUACGGAGGAUCCGAGCGUUAUCCGGAUUUAUUGGGUUUAAAGGGUGCGUAGGCGGGAUGUGAAGUCAGCGGUGAAAUUUUGGGGCUUAACCAUUGAACUGCCGUUGAAACUGGGGUGCUUGAGAGUGUGUGAGGUAGGCGGAAUGCGUGGUGUAGCGGUGAAAUGCUUAGAUAUCACGCAGAACCCCGAUUGCGAAGGCAGCGUACC